RNAcentral lists this ribosomal RNA (484 nucleotides) under uncultured bacterium. RNAcentral describes it as "partial 16S ribosomal RNA". It matches the Rfam family "Bacterial small subunit ribosomal RNA", at positions 30 to 507 of the family's 1533-position model. The record is from RNAcentral.
AUUGAACGCUGGCGGCAGGCCUAACACAUGCAAGUCGAGCGGAUGAAGGGAGCUUGCUCCUGGAUUCAGCGGCGGACGGGUGAGUAAUGCCUAGGAAUCUGCCUGGUAGUGGGGGAUAACGUCCGGAAACGGGCGCUAAUACCGCAUACGUCCUGAGGGAGAAAGUGGGGGAUCUUCGGACCUCACGCUAUCAGAUGAGCCUAGGUCGGAUUAGCUAGUUGGUGGGGUAAAAGCCUACCAAGGCGACGAUCCGUAACUGGUCUGAGAGGAUGAUCAGUCACACUGGAACUGAGACACGGUCCAGACUCCUACGGGAGGCAGCAGUGGGGAAUAUUGGACAAUGGGCGAAAGCCUGAUCCAGCCAUGCCGCGUGUGUGAAGAAGGUCUUCGGACUGUAAAGCACUUUAAGUUGGGAGGAAGGGCAGUAAGUUAAUACCUUGCUGUUUUGACGUUACCAACAGAAUAAGCACCGGCUAACUUCGUG